AAGAAAAUAAAAGGGUCUAGUAAAAUAAGAUGUUCCACACACACAGAGAAAAGCACGUUUGUUUGAGGACCAUCCACACAGAAACACACUACUAGAGUUUUGUCUUUUGAUCGCUUGUUCAUAUCUUCCACGGGUUCUGAAAUGUCCUCCUUGAUGACUGAAGUCCUUGAAAUCAAGAAUGAGCUGUGGCAACAUGCUAACAAUGCACAGUCAUGAUAAGCAUUCGUUCCAUGUGUGGUUGUGUGUACACACGCAGGAAAAGAGAUGCAUUUCAACAGUCUCCACUCUAAUCUCUGCAUGCAGGUUUAUUAUUAAAACUCCAAAAUGCUUCUCUUUCUAAAUGAGUUUUGGGAGGGAAAUGGGAAAAAAGGAGGAGCAAAAAAAAAAAAAAAGAGGAAAGGAGAGGAAGUAGAGAGAGGACAAGACAUUGGCGAGAAGGUGGCUGAAGCUAGAGCGAGCUGGCGUUUUAUCUCCUUCUCCCAGUCCCAGUGAAAAGCUUUAUUUUAUUUAUAAACUUUGAACUAUUUUCAGAUAAAAUGCCAUUUUUUCGCUGUCAUCCUUGAUCUUCCGUUCCAUUCUCUCCUGAGCGAGCCUUAGAGGGAGACGGCACGCUCACAAUCAGAUAGCGCUAUCAGCCCUCUGCAGCUGCACCGCCAUGUGCCGCUGUGCUCCUAUCGGCAGCCAGCACACAUACAGGCGUACACACAAGCUCCUAAGCACUGAAAUGAAUUCCCCCUUUCUUCUGUAUCCACAGAACUAGCCACAGAAAGGGCUCUGCAAUGCACUCCAUGAUCUAUCUGCACAUCCAGACGCUCUUUCUCUCUUUCGUGCGCGCGUACACAAACACGGAGAGAUUUGGUCCUUUAUUUCAUUUUUCUUUUUCUUUUUUUAAGUCCCUCUAACACAGACACACACAGACCAUUAAAGAAGACAGGACAAAAGGACAAGAGGAGAAGCAGCACUGACAUUUAGUUGGGAAUAACUUGCGUCUCCAAAAACCGAAAGUUUAAAACUUGGACUGGUCUGACAGAGGAGUUUAUCUCACGAGUUGCCAUCUUUUAUUUCCUCCCUUAUUAGCUCUGCUCUCUUUUUUUUCAAAUCACCCUUUGUUCUUUUCUCUUUUGUCCCACUCUUUGCUCCCUAUUAAUGUCACAUUCUCCUGUUUCUCCAUUGUAAGCAGUGAUGUUGUUUAUCUGAGGAGGCAGUGCUUCUAUCCCCAUCUCUGCCAGUGUGUCUGCAGCCUGAUAACCCACCGAAGGGGAUUGCGAUGCUCAACAAUGUUGUGGCACUGUCAGCCCACCCACCUCCCAAUCUCUGUUCUUGUACCCACCAUCCAGCCCCUCACCUGCCUUCAGGCACUGGGAGAAUGCUGAAUCCGCAUCUGCUUCAGAGCACCCGUGCGCCUUCAUCUCAGAUCUGCUCCUUCCAUCCUCCAAAAUAUACAGCAUGGAAAUACCAAGCUCAUGUAAAUGAAGCCAAUGGAGAAACCCUACAAAACUUGCAGGAGAGUCAGCAGGAUAAAAUGUACCGGCCUCGCUGGCUCUUCCCUAAGAAGCGUUUGGAGGCAUAGACGGGGGCGUGAGUGGCAUCGACUGCCCAGUAGAGGAAGAAGGGCU
This is a long non-coding RNA of Oreochromis niloticus (Nile tilapia), 1616 nucleotides long. RefSeq lists it as uncharacterized. Lineage: Eukaryota; Metazoa; Chordata; Actinopteri; Cichliformes; Cichlidae. The record is from RefSeq and is a predicted model, not a curated record. The transcript is spliced from 3 exons.